ACCGUCAGCGGAGCUGGCUUCGCGGAGGUUCGUGAUGUAGCGGCGACCCCGGUCUCGCUUCACUCGUCCUUCGCGCAUGUCCGGCGACGUCGGCGUGCACUUCUCCCCUAGUAGGACGUCGCGACCCGUUGGGUGUCGGCUUACGGCCCGGGGUGCAGCCCGUCGCGCCGCUUCGGCGCGCGCGACGAACCCCCGGACGCCUGGCCGGCUGCUCGACGGUACGCACACGGUAUCUGGCCGCCCUCGAACUGGCGUCGGGCCCGCCGCAAGAGAGUCAGGUGUGAAAGCCGGUGGUAAGUCGGACCUGGUGCCGUCCCCGGACCUGUCGCUCUGUUUGCAGGUGUGGACCUCCGACGGGCUUGAACCAAUGAUACCGGUCGGCGACGCUAUUGCUUUGGGUACUCUCAGGACCCGUCUUGAAACACGGACCAAGGAGUCUAACAUGUACGCGAGUCAUUGGGACCGAAAAACCUAAAGGCGAAAUGAAAGUGAAGGUCGGCCUCGCGCCGACCGAGGGAGGAUGGGCCGCGUCACGAUGCGGCUCCGCACUCCCGGGGCGCCUCGUUCUCAUUGCGAGAUGAGGCGCACCCAGAGCGUACACGUUGGGACCCGAAAGAUGGUGAACUAUGCCUGGUCAGGACGAAGUCAGGGGAAACCCUGAUGGAGGUCCGUAGCGAUUCUG
This 682-nucleotide ribosomal RNA is filed under the name Chrysis principalis. Its description in RNAcentral is "eukaryotic LSU rRNA". The stretch from base 327 to 682 matches the Rfam family "Eukaryotic large subunit ribosomal RNA", at positions 1 to 888 of the family's 3401-position model. The record is from RNAcentral. Lineage: Eukaryota; Metazoa; Arthropoda; Insecta; Hymenoptera; Chrysididae.